Molecule: ribosomal RNA, 419 nt
Filed under: Escherichia coli
Lineage: Bacteria; Pseudomonadati; Pseudomonadota; Gammaproteobacteria; Enterobacterales; Enterobacteriaceae
Description: partial 23S ribosomal RNA
Rfam family: Bacterial large subunit ribosomal RNA
Source: RNAcentral
UUCCAGGCAAAUCCGGAAAAUCAAGGCUGAGGCGUGAUGACGAGGCACUACGGUGCUGAAGCAACAAAUGCCCUGCUUCCAGGAAAAGCCUCUAAGCAUCAGGUAACAUCAAAUCGUACCCCAAACCGACACAGGUGGUCAGGUAGAGAAUACCAAGGCGCUUGAGAGAACUCGGGUGAAGGAACUAGGCAAAAUGGUGCCGUAACUUCGGGAGAAGGCACGCUGAUAUGUAGGUGAAGUCCCUCGCGGAUGGAGCUGAAAUCAGUCGAAGAUACCAGCUGGCUGCAACUGUUUAUUAAAAACACAGCACUGUGCAAACACGAAAGUGGACGUAUACGGUGUGACGCCUGCCCGGUGCCGGAAGGUUAAUUGAUGGGGUUAGCGGUAACGCGAAGCUCUUGAUCGAAGCCCCGGUAAAC